Molecule: unclassified non-coding RNA, 263 nt
Filed under: plant metagenome
Description: partial contains small subunit ribosomal RNA, internal transcribed spacer 1, and 5.8S ribosomal RNA
Source: RNAcentral
UUUCCGUAGGUGAACCUGCGGAAGGAUCAUUAUUGUAUAACCGAGGUGCGAGGGCUGUCGCUGACCCGAAAGGUCGUGCACGCCCGAGUGCCCUCACACACAUACAUCUCACCCCUAUGUGCACCACCGCGUGGGUCCCCCUUUGGCUUGUUCGGAGGGGGGCUUACGUUUUCACACAAACUUUGUAUGCAGUGUAGAAUGUAUUUUUUGUUUUUGCGAUCACGCAAUCAAUACAACUUUCAACAACGGAUCUCUUGGCUCUC